CUUUUUACUCCUACGGGAGGCAGCAGUGGGGAAUAUUGCACAAUGGGCGCAAGCCUGAUGCAGCGACGCCGCGUGAGGGAUGACGGCCUUCGGGUUGUAAACCUCUUUCACCAGGGACGAAGCGCAAGUGACGGUACCUGGAGAAGAAGCACCGGCCAACUACGUGCCAGCAGCCGCGGUAAUACGUAGGGUGCGAGCGUUGUCCGGAAUUACUGGGCGUAAAGAGCUCGUAGGCGGUUUGUCGCGUCGUCUGUGAAAUUCUGCAACUCAAUUGUAGGCGUGCAGGCGAUACGGGCAGACUUGAGUACUACAGGGGAGACUGGAAUUCCUGGUGUAGCGGUGAAAUGCGCAGAUAUCAGGAGGAACCACCGGUGGCGAAGGCGGGUCUCUGGGUAGUAACUGACGCUGAGGAGCGAAAGCGUGGGUAGCGAACAGGAUUAGAUACCCUGGUAGUCCACGCCGUAAACGGUGGGUACUAGGUGUGGGGCUCAUUUCACGAGUUCCGUGCCGUAGCUAACGCAUUAAGUACCCCGCCUGGGGAGUACGGCCGCAAGGCUAAAACUCAAAGGAAUUGACGGGGGCCCGCACAAGCGGCGGAGCAUGUGGAUUAAUUUGAUGCAACGCGAAGAACCUUACCUGGGUUUGACAUACACCAGAAAGCUGUAGAGAUAUAGCCCCCCCCU
This 683-nucleotide ribosomal RNA is filed under the name Gordonia sp. (in: high G+C Gram-positive bacteria). RNAcentral's name for it is "bacterial SSU rRNA". It matches the Rfam family "Bacterial small subunit ribosomal RNA", at positions 329 to 1020 of the family's 1533-position model. The record is from RNAcentral. Lineage: Bacteria; Bacillati; Actinomycetota; Actinomycetes; Mycobacteriales; Gordoniaceae.